Molecule: ribosomal RNA, 434 nt
Filed under: uncultured Clostridium sp.
Lineage: Bacteria; Bacillati; Bacillota; Clostridia; Eubacteriales; Clostridiaceae
Description: partial 16S ribosomal RNA
Rfam family: Bacterial small subunit ribosomal RNA
Source: RNAcentral
ACGGAAGGCAGCAGUGGGGAAUAUUGCACAAUGGGGGAAACCCUGAUGCAGCGACGCCGCGUGAGUGAAGAAGUAUUUCGGUAUGUAAAGCUCUAUCAGCAGGGAAGAAAAUGACGGUACCUGACUAAGAAGCCCCGGCUAACUACGUGCCAGCAGCCGCGGUAAUACGUAGGGGGCAAGUGUUAUCCGGAUUUACUGGGUGUAAAGGGAGCGUAGACGGUAUGGCAAGUCUGAAGUGAAAUGCCAGGGCUUAACCCUGGAACUGCUUUGGAAACUGUCGUACUAGAGUGCAGGAGAGGUAAGUGGAAUUCCUAGUGUAGCGGUGAAAUGCGUAGAUAUUAGGAGGAACACCAGUGGCGAAGGCGGCUUACUGGACGAUUACUGACGCUGAGGCUCGAAAGCGUGGGGAGCAAACAGGAUUAGAUACCCUGGUA